UACGUAGGGAGCUAGCGUUAUUCGGAAUUACUGGGCGUAAAGCGCACGUAGGCGGCUUUUUAAGUUAGAGGUGAAAGCCUGGAGCUCAACUCCAGAAUUGCCUUUAAGACUGCAUCGCUUGAAUCCAGGAGAGGUGAGUGGAAUUCCGAGUGUAGAGGUGAAAUUCGUAGAUAUUCGGAAGAACCCCAGUGGCGAAGGCGACACACUGGCCCGUUACUGACGCUGAGGCGCGAAAGCGUGGGGAGAAAACAGG
RNAcentral lists this ribosomal RNA (253 nucleotides) under uncultured bacterium. RNAcentral describes it as "partial 16S ribosomal RNA". It matches the Rfam family "Bacterial small subunit ribosomal RNA", at positions 524 to 776 of the family's 1533-position model. The record is from RNAcentral.